RNAcentral lists this ribosomal RNA (865 nucleotides) under Protoperidinium stellatum. RNAcentral's name for it is "LSU rRNA". It matches the Rfam family "Eukaryotic large subunit ribosomal RNA", at positions 75 to 945 of the family's 3401-position model. The record is from RNAcentral. Lineage: Eukaryota; Dinophyceae; Peridiniales; Protoperidiniaceae.
UUCCCUCAGUAAUGGCGAAUGCAUGGGGAUAGGCUUAGCGUGGAACUCGGGGCUUCCAGUCUGAAUUGUAGCCUCUGGAUGUGCAACCAGCGAAGGCGCAGCUGUAGGCCCUUGGGAAAGAGCGUCGGUGAGGGCGAUAACCCUCUAUGUUCCCUGCAGGCCUCGGUGUACAGUGCACAAUCUAAGAGUCACACUCCUUGGGAAUGGUGUGCGAAGCAGGUGGCAGUGUUCGCUUAAAGCUGAACAUGCGCUUAAGACCGAUAGCAAACAAGUACCUUGAGGGAAAGGUGAAACAGGACUUUGAAAAGAUAGAUAAUACUGCCUGAUCAUGUUGAUAAGGAAGUGGGUGAGCUCAGCGAUACUUGGCGAGAUUACCACAUGGGGAUGUGCUGGGUCGCUGCCUGUUUGGAAGAAUGGCAAUAAACCCUGAGCGGCAUAUGUGUAGCGCGUCUUGCCCUGGCGACCAGUAUGAGUUCGCAGCCCGAGGGCAUCGGCAGGAAGCUGGAAUAAUGCUCUUUGGGCAUAUUGAUAUAUCAGCCUUUGCUCGCGUGCGUGCUCUUGGUGGAUUCAUGGCUUGCCCACCCCGUCUUGAAACACGGAUCAAGGAGUCUGACAUGCGUGCGAGCUCGUUGGUGGCAAAAGCUUGUGUGCAUUGUGAAAAUGUUAGUUGGGAUUGGUGCACCAACAACUGGCAAGUCGACUGGAAUGUCUGAGUGUGAGUGCGCAUGAUAGGACCCGAAAGAUGGUGAACUAUGCCUGUGAAAAGCAAAGUCAGAGGAAACUUUGAUGGAGGCUUGCAGCGAUAUUGACGUGCAAAUUGUUCGUUAUACAUGGGGAUAGGGGUGAAAGACUAAUCGAACCAUCU